AACGUACGCUGGCGGCACGCCUAACACAUGCAAGUCGAACGAAGUAGCAAUACUUAGUGGCAGACGGGUGAGUAACAUGUAGGUAUCUGCCCUUUGGCCUGGAAUAACACGAGGAAACUUGUGCUAAUACCGGAUAAGUCUUUACGGAGAAAGCUUUAUGCACCAUUGGAUGAGCCUGCACUUGAUUAGUUUGUUGGUGGGGUAAUGGCGUACCAAGACUGUGAUCAAUAGCUGAUUUGAGAGGAUGAUCAGCCACAUUGGGACUGAGACACGGCCCAAACUCCUACGGGAGGCAGCAGUGGGGAAUCUUGCACAAUGGAGGAAACUCUGAUGCAGCGAUGCCGCGUGAGUGAAGAAGGCCCUUGGGUUGUAAAGCUCUUUCGUCGGGGAAGAAAAUGACUGUACCCGAAUAAGAAGGUCCGGCUAACUUCGUGCCAGCAGCCGCGGUAAUACGAAGGGACCUAGCGUAGUUCGGAAUUACUGGGCUUAAAGAGUUCGUAGGUGGUUGAAAAAGUUAGAGGUGAAAUCCCAGAGCUUAACUCCGGAACUGCCAUUAAAACUUUUCAGCUAGAGUACGAUAGAGGAAAGCGGAAUUUCUAGUGUAGAGGUGAAAUUCGUAGAUAUUAGAAAGAACACCAAUGCGAAGGCAGCUCUCUGGAUCAUUACUGA
RNAcentral lists this ribosomal RNA (669 nucleotides) under alpha proteobacterium IMCC14720. RNAcentral's name for it is "bacterial SSU rRNA". It matches the Rfam family "Bacterial small subunit ribosomal RNA", at positions 28 to 743 of the family's 1533-position model. Lineage: Bacteria; Pseudomonadati; Pseudomonadota; Alphaproteobacteria. The record is from RNAcentral.